This 396-nucleotide ribosomal RNA is filed under the name uncultured Glomeromycotina. Its description in RNAcentral is "eukaryotic LSU rRNA". The record is from RNAcentral. Lineage: Eukaryota; Fungi; Glomeromycota.
UUGAAAGGGAAACGAUUGAAGUCAGUCGUACCGACGGACAAUCAGCCUUUUGAGUGCGAUUCUGUGGGGCAUGAGGAGGAAACCCUCAUGUUUUGCAUAUUUGUGCUCUUUGGGUGUAUUUGUUCGUAUGGUGGGUUAACAUCAAUUUUGGUCGUCAUAAAAUGACGGGAGGAAUGUAGCUUUGGUCUCGUAUUGAAGUGUUAUAGCCUCUGGUAGAUGUGACGACCGGGAUUGAGGAUUGCAACGGAUACCCCUCGGGGCUACUCGCCUGAUCUCUGAUCGUUACUCUGGUGCCGAAAGCUUGCUUAUGUCAUCAAAGUUGAUGGUCAAAAGGUUAGAACGGGUUAAAUUCGUUAAGGAUGUUGACGUAAAUCACUAGCCCCCCCUAAAUAAAUG